GCCCAGCGUCCUCCUAAGCCGCCAUCUUGCCGCUUCCCCCCGAGAACAGUCCGUAUCAACAGAUAAAUGGGUAAACAAACAAUGGUAUAUCUAAACAAUUGGAAUACUACUCAGUAAUAAAAAGGGAUGGAUUAUUGAUACAUACUACAACACAGAUGGAUCUUAAAAUAAUUAUGCUGAGUUAGUGAAGACAGAACAGAGUACAUGUUAUGAUUCCACUUAUGUCAAUUUUUAGAAAAUGUGAACUGACCUAUAAUAACUGCAAGAAAAUCAGUGUUGCCCAGUGAAUGAGGGUAUAUGGUUGGGAGGGAGGACUUAGAAAAGGACAUGAAACUUGGUGGUGAUGGAUAUGCUUAUUAUUUUGAUUGCAGUGGUAAUUUUACAGACGUAUACCUAUGUGAAAACUUACCAACUUGUGUUUAAAUAGGUGACAUUUACUAUAUAUCAGCUACACUUUAAUAAGGUUGCUUUUACCAAAAAUACCCCAAAACCGAACAAACAAAAAACCCAAAAGAAAACCCACACAUAUACACAAAAUAGAGUUUCCCUAAUAGACCAAACUUCCCUUGAGCUCCUUUUUAGCUUUCCAGAGUUGAUGAGAGGUGCGAUUACUCAGCAGACUGAGUGGUACACACCAAAAAAGUGAGAGUCACAAACCAGUGGGUGUGAAGAAUGUGGCUGCCAGUGGCUUGAGAAUAGAUCUGGGUUCUUGAGGUGUAGACUGGGAAUUCCCCAAACCUUAAAAGUUGUUUUAUCGGCUUAGGAUUCUGGCCCAUGGUGUCCAGUUACGCAUUUCUUGAAAUCAGUCUCCUGGUUUUGUGCCACCAGCAAUUCAGUGAGAUUGCUCUGUACCCUGUUGUUCAGAUUAUGUACAUAACAUUUAAGGUGGGUAGAGUAUUGUGAAGUCGAAUUUGUAAUUGCUUUAAUUGAUUUUGGUAACUCUGGACAAGGCCUUCAUAUCAUAAUUUUAAUUAGUAUUUUUUAAUGGAUCUCAUGUACUGAGCAUGCUUGUAAAAAUGUCUUGAUUAUACUUAUCAUCUCUAUGUAACCUGAUGCAAUUCUUAUCUUAAACUUUGAUGAAAUUUAGCCUGAUUCUAUUAUUGGAAGCUUAGAAAGCCUUUCUGUGUGAUGAGCAAUUAAAUGUAGGACCAAUGGUUUUGGUAAAUAGACUACAAAAUAUGAAAACCACAUAACCCCAGUAGUUAUAUAAUACUAAACAAACUUUCUAAAACAUAUUUUUAGGGCUAUACUCAGUACAAGAAAACAUGGAAUCAGCAGUUUUCUCAUGGAUUAUUUUUUUGAUGGCUUAAUAUUCUGGCCCUUGCAUGACUGAAAUUAUAGUUAGAGUGCACUGGAAUUUACAUUGCUGUAAAAUUCCCCUCCCUUCUUUUGCUGACUGUUGUUAUUGAUUAAUAUGAUGGUCUAUAUCUCAUGUUAGGAAGACAUUUAGUUAUUAUGUUAAAAUAUCCAAAUGCAUUUUUAGACCACAUAGAGAAAAAUUAAUUAGAAUUUUUGGACCAAGGAGUAGUAUUAGAUAUGUCUCCCAUCAGACAUGAAAUCAAUAUGAUUAUAACAUUGCUCAUAUAGACAGUAUUAGUUAUUGUCUUCUUAAUCAAUGAGAUUCACCUAACUUUAAAUGAUUUGGUGGGGCCAUUCUGAAUAGACAAUAACGAUUAGUCCUUUUUCUAAGGAGUAUCAUACAUUUCUAAGUGGAUUGUUUAUAUCUGAAUGUUUGUUGCUCAUCUCAAUUCACAUUAUAAGGUUAAGAUGUGGUUUUAUUUUAUGGUUUAAUUUAUGCUCACUUAUGCUAAUUGAGGCUUGGACUAGUAGUUUGUAAGGAGUAAACAGACUAUUUUUUUCAGAUAUUCAUAUUUUGAUCAUGGCUUAAUUGUACAAAUUGUCAUUUUUGAUAUUGCAUUGACCUUUUCCAAACAUAGCUAUUUUGUAUAAAGACUUACCUUUUUUUUAAAAAAAUCAUUUCUGCAUCUUCUUCUCUAUUUUCUUCAGUUGAGGUGUGGCUUAAACUACCUUUCAGUGGAAUAAAUACUGUGACCUCUCAGGUCAACUUCUAACUGGAGAGUCUGUUCUGUGAUCAUAUACCUCUGCUAUGAUUGGAGUGAGUUCUGGAUUGUGUUCCGUUGGAGCCCAUCAAUUAUGACCCUACAUCUUCAACAACAACAACCAAAAAAAAAGCUUCAACACGAAUAUUAUGAGGUGACAAGAUCUGCGUCAGUGACGGACUGUGUUCCUUUUUCAAGGAGGAAGUAGAUUUUCAGGCUCUAUUAAAGAUGUUGUGCUUACCAUGUUUCUCAUCUCCUGUAUCCAUACCAGCAGUAGAAUUCCAGUCAUCAGACUCUUGAACCCACAGCUUCUGCCACAGCCACCGCCAAGGAGAUCCCCCUCAGAGCCCAGAAAACACACAUUCAUGAUGGCAUUGCCCAGGAACUAUGAAGUCUGUUUGGAUAUGAAGAACCUGAAACUUUUGUCUGCUCAGAUGGAAGCCAGGCUGGUGGCCACGUCAGGAAGAAUGCUUGAAAGCCUCGGUAAGCAGAUAUGCAUGUGUUUACCUUCUUUCAGGGCACUGGUUUUCAAAUGAGUCUUUUUUUUUUUCUUUUAAUUUAAGAGAUAGCACACGAGUAGGAGAGAGGGGC
Molecule: long non-coding RNA, 2651 nt
Organism: Felis catus (domestic cat)
Lineage: Eukaryota; Metazoa; Chordata; Mammalia; Carnivora; Felidae
Exons: 5
Source: RefSeq, a predicted model, not a curated record